This 468-nucleotide ribosomal RNA is filed under the name uncultured bacterium. Its description in RNAcentral is "partial 16S ribosomal RNA". It matches the Rfam family "Bacterial small subunit ribosomal RNA", at positions 28 to 507 of the family's 1533-position model. The record is from RNAcentral.
GACGAACGCUGGCGGCGUGCUUAACACAUGCAAGUCGAACGGAAAGGCCCUGCUUUUGUGGGGUGCUCGAGUGGCGAACGGGUGAGUAACACGUGAGUAACCUGCCCUUGACUUUGGGAUAACUUCAGGAAACUGGGGCUAAUACCGGAUAGGAGAUCCUGCUCCAUGGGGGGGGUUGGAAAGUUUGGGCGGUUGGGGAUGGACUCGCGGCUUAUCAGCUUGUUGGUGGGGUAGUGGCUUACCAAGGUUUUGAAGGGUAGCCGGCCUGAGAGGGUGACCGGCCACAUUGGGACUGAGAUACGGCCCAGACUCCUACGGGAGGCAGCAGUGGGGAAUAUUGCACAAUGGGCGGAAGCCUGAUGCAGCAACGCCGCGUGCGGGAUGACGGCCUUCGGGUUGUAAACCGCUUUCGCCUGUGACGAAGCGUGAGUGACGGUAAUGGGUAAAGAAGCACCGGCUAACUACGUG